UACAGAGGGGGCGAGCGUUGUUCGGAAUUACUGGGCGUAAAGGGCGCGUAGGCGGCCAACUAAGUCAGACGUGAAAUCCCUCGGCUCAACCGGGGAACUGCGUCUGAUCCUGGAUGGCUUGAAUUCGGGAGAGGGAUGCGGAAUUCCAGGUGUAGCGGUGAAAUGCGUAGAUAUCAGGAAGAACACCCGUGGCGAAGGCGGCUCUCUGGGACGGUACUGACGCUGAGACGCGAAAGCGUGGGGAGCGAACAGG
This 253-nucleotide ribosomal RNA is filed under the name uncultured bacterium. Its description in RNAcentral is "partial 16S ribosomal RNA". It matches the Rfam family "Bacterial small subunit ribosomal RNA", at positions 524 to 776 of the family's 1533-position model. The record is from RNAcentral.